RNAcentral lists this ribosomal RNA (493 nucleotides) under uncultured bacterium. Its description in RNAcentral is "partial 16S ribosomal RNA". It matches the Rfam family "Bacterial small subunit ribosomal RNA", at positions 29 to 523 of the family's 1533-position model. The record is from RNAcentral.
AUUGAACGCUGGCGGCAUGCUUUACACAUGCAAGUCGAACGGUAACAGGUUAAGCUGACGAGUGGCGAACGGGUGAGUAAUGCAUCGGAACGCGCCCGAUCGUGGGGGAUAACGCAGCGAAAGCUGCGCUAAUACUGCAUACGAUCUGAGGACGAAAGCGGGGGACCGUAAGGCCUCGCGCGAUCGGAGCGGCCGAUGUCAGAUUAGGUAGUUGGUGGGGUAAAGGCUCACCAAGCCGACGAUCUGUAGCUGGUCUGAGAGGACGACCAGCCACACUGGGACUGAGACACGGCCCAGACUCCUACGGGAGGCAGCAGUGGGGAAUUUUGGACAAUGGGCGAAAGCCUGAUCCAGCAAUGCCGCGUGCAGGAAGAAGGCCUUCGGGCUGUAAACUGCUUUUGUACGGAGCGAAAAGGCUCUCUCUAAUACAGGGGGCUCAUGACGGUACCGUAAGAAUAAGCACCGGCUAACUACGUGCCAGCCGCCGCCGUAA